Salvia splendens (bonfire salvia) is the source of this 467-nucleotide long non-coding RNA. RefSeq lists it as uncharacterized. The transcript is spliced from 2 exons. The record is from RefSeq and is a predicted model, not a curated record. NCBI's taxonomy places the organism in Eukaryota, Viridiplantae, Streptophyta, Magnoliopsida, Lamiales, Lamiaceae.
CGCUUUCUCUCUCCCUCUCUUUUCGCGUUCCCUGUUUUUCUCUCCUUCCCUCUCUGGCGAGCCGCGAUUCUUUUGGAAGAGAUGUUGAAUUAUUUCGCAGGCAUUUCGAUACAACUGUGCCCUAGCCGCUUCUCUACGAUUGAUUGAUGAUAAUCUGUUUAUGUUGUGAGCAAUAUGUGAGAGGGGAAUGGUAACUGAACGAGUGUAGAUGCAGGUUUAAUCCAUGUUAAUUUAUGGGUGAAUGAUACGCUACACAUUCAAAUAGUAAGAGGCAGCUAGCUAGAAACGCAGCUUGAAGAAAGAGGCAGCUAUCUAGCAGAAUAGUAGGUCUUGAUUAUGAUAGGUGAAUGAUACACUACACAUUGUAAGUCUGUAACACAUAUUCAUAUAUAUAAAGUAGUAGUAGUAUCUAUGUAUGUAAGUAUGCAUGUAGAUUAAAUCUCAGCAGACAAAGCCUUUUCAUCUAA